GAAAGUGGCGAACGGGUGAGUAACACGUAGGUAAUCUGCCCUCGAGUGUGGAAUAAUUCCGGGAAACCGGUUGUAAUACCGCAUAAUAUCCUGUUGGGACAUCCCGAAAGGAUCAAAGGCUUCNGCCGCUUGAGGAUGAGCCUGCGUCCCAUUAGCUUGUUGGUGAGGUAACAGCUCACCAAGGCGACGAUGGGUAGCUGGUCUGAGAGGACGAUCAGCCACACUGGGACUGAGAUACGGCCCAGACUCCUACGGGAGGCAGCAGUGAGGAAUAUUGCGCAAUGGACGAAAGUCUGACGCAGCNGCGCCGCGUGGGCGAUGAAGCUCUUUUGAGUGUAAAGCCCUGUUAGGAGGGACGAACAAGCCCGAUACGUCGGGCCCUGACGGUACCUCCAGAGAAAGCUCCGGCUAACUCCGUGCCAGCAGCCGCGGUAAUACGGGGGGAGCAAGCGUUGUCCGGAUUUAUUGGGCGUAAAGGGCGUGUAGGUGGGUCUGUAAGUGAGUGGUGAAAUCCCGGGGCUUAACUCCGGAACUGCCUUUCAUACUGCAGAUCUCGAGUGCGAGAGGGGGAGAUGGAAUUCCUGGUGUAGCGGUGGAAUGCGUAGAUAUCAGGAGGAACACCGGUGGCGAAGGCGAUCUCCUGGCUCGCAGCUGACACUGAGGCGCUAAAGCG
Molecule: ribosomal RNA, 673 nt
Filed under: uncultured bacterium
Lineage: Bacteria
Description: bacterial SSU rRNA
Rfam family: Bacterial small subunit ribosomal RNA
Source: RNAcentral